Molecule: ribosomal RNA, 255 nt
Filed under: uncultured bacterium
Lineage: Bacteria
Description: partial 16S ribosomal RNA
Rfam family: Bacterial small subunit ribosomal RNA
Source: RNAcentral
UACGUAGGGUCCGAGCGUUGUCCGGAAUUACUGGGCGUAAAGAGCUCGUAGGUGGUUUGUCGCGUUGUUCGUGAAAACUCACAGCUUAACUGUGGGCGUGCGGGCGAUACGGGCAGACCUUGAGUACUGCAGGGGAGGACUGGAAUUCCUGGUGUAGCGGUGGAAUGCGCAGAUAUCAGGAGGAACACCGGUGGCGAAGGCGGGUCUCUGGGCAGUAACUGACGCUGAGGAGCGAAAGCGUGGGGAGCGAACAGG